This 404-nucleotide unclassified non-coding RNA is filed under the name soil metagenome. RNAcentral's name for it is "partial contains 5.8S ribosomal RNA, internal transcribed spacer 2, and large subunit ribosomal RNA". The stretch from base 1 to 122 matches the Rfam family "5.8S ribosomal RNA", at positions 35 to 154 of the family's 154-position model. The record is from RNAcentral.
GAUGAAGAACGCAGCAAAAUGCGAUACUUGGUGUGAAUUGCAGAAUCCCGUGAACCAUCGAGUUUUUGAACGCAAGUUGCGCCCGAAGCCUUUUGGCCGAGGGCACGUCUGCCUGGGCGUCACGCAUCGCGUCGCCCCCCACAAUUCUUCGUAAAGGGAACGUGUGUUUUGGGGGCGGAUAUUGGUCUCCCGUGCUCAUGGCGUGGUUGGCCGAAAUAGGAGUCCUUUCGAUGGACGCACGAACUAGUGGUGGUCGUAAAAACCCUCGUCUUUUGUUUCGUGCUGUUGCUCGCAAGGUAAACUCUUUAAAAACCCCAAUGUGUCGUCUCUUGACGACGCUUCGACCGCGACCCCAGGUCAGGCGGGACUACCCGCUGAGUUUAAGCAUAUCAAUAAGCGGAGGA